AAUAUUGCACAAUGGGGGAAACCCUGAUGCAGCGACGCCGCGUGAGCGAAGAAGGCCUUCGGGUCGUAAAGCACUUUCCUAAGGGAAGAAACUGACGGUACCCUAGGACGAAGCCCCGGCUAACUCCGUGCCAGCAGCCACGGUAAUACGUAGGGGGCGAGCGUUACCCGGAAUUACUGGGCGUAAAGGGUGCGUAGUCGGCCUUUUAAGUCCGAUGUGAAAGGCUACGGCUUAACCGUAGUUAGCAUUUGAAACUAAAAGGCUUGAGUGCAGGAGAGGAGAGUGGAAUUCCUAGUGUAGCGGUGAAAUGCGUAGAUAUUAGGAGGAACACCAGUGGCGAAGGCGACUCUCUGGACUGCAACUGACGCUGAGGCACGAAAGCGUGGGUAGCGAACAGG
RNAcentral lists this ribosomal RNA (398 nucleotides) under uncultured bacterium. Its description in RNAcentral is "partial 16S ribosomal RNA". It matches the Rfam family "Bacterial small subunit ribosomal RNA", at positions 360 to 776 of the family's 1533-position model. The record is from RNAcentral.